Molecule: ribosomal RNA, 277 nt
Filed under: uncultured bacterium
Lineage: Bacteria
Description: partial 16S ribosomal RNA
Rfam family: Bacterial small subunit ribosomal RNA
Source: RNAcentral
AGCGAACGCUGGCGGCAUGCCUAACACAUGCAAGUCUCACGGGCAGCGAUGUCAGUGGCGGACGGGUGAGUAACGCGUAGGUAUCUAUCCUUAGGUGGGGGACAACCACGGGAAACUGUGGCUAAUACCGCAUAAUGACUGAGGUCCAAAGGCGCAAGUCGCCUGGGGAGGAGCCUGCGUACGAUUAGCUAGUUGGUGGGGUAACGGCCUACCAAGGCGAUGAUCGUUAGCUGGUCUGAGAGGAUGAUCAGCCACACUGGGACUGAGACACGGCCCA